CAUGCACAAUGUGCACAGAAAAGAAAUAUUAAGAGACCCCAAUCAAGAAACUGGGGCAGGAAUUGUAUUGGAAAUAAGAAAAGAUUCCAAGAGUUAUAAUUUUAAACUCAUACCAAAGCUAUUUAGCUUUUAAUACCUUUUCCAUUCCUAACCUUAAUACCAAAAAGACCUUUCGAUCAAUCUUAGAAAAAUGCUGAGGCAAGCAAAUGAAGUGGUUCAUAACACUCUGGUACAAACAAGGAAAGAAAGUAAAAAUGAGAGAGUCUUAUAGGUGAAAACCCACACGGGCACCAUAAGGCGACGGAAGUUGAGAGAAAAGAAAAAUAAGAGAGUCUUAUAGGUGAAAACCCACACGGGCACCAUAAGGCGACGGAAGUUGAGAGAAAAGUAAAAUGAGAGAGUCUUAUAGGUGAAAACCCACACAUGCACCAUAAGGCGAAAAGGAAGUGAAGAAGUGAAAAAUAAGGAAAAUUUAUCGAUGAAAACUCCUUGAGACAAUUGAAAGGAGAUUGAUUAAAAGACUGGUUUGAUUUAAUCCGAAAUGCAUACCCUGAUCAUUGGUGCAGGUAAUUCCAAUCAGAUAAGUCCUUUAUUCCUUUUCCAAAAGUCAUCCAAAUUGGAUUUUUCUUUUCAUUCUAUAAUUGUCGAAAUCAGCGUAUUUCGUUACUAAUAAUCUUACUUUCUAAAAGCUUUGAGAUAAGUUUUAUUCCAAACAAAUAAGAAGGAAUGUCAAGGUAUACUACCAAGAUUCAAGGUUACAAAAUACAGCCACGAAAGGUAGGAGAUAA
This 788-nucleotide long non-coding RNA is filed under the name Nicotiana tabacum (common tobacco). Its description in RNAcentral is "long non-coding RNA (NTAB_LNC015034)". The record is from RNAcentral. Lineage: Eukaryota; Viridiplantae; Streptophyta; Magnoliopsida; Solanales; Solanaceae.